CUGGUUGGUCUGUCCCAUUACCGGGGCUGUGAUGGACUGGUCAGCAGACACCAGUCUAAGAGGACACAUUAUCGGAUCGAAUAGGUAACUGU
This is a long non-coding RNA of Sphaeramia orbicularis (orbiculate cardinalfish), 92 nucleotides long. RefSeq lists it as uncharacterized. The record is from RefSeq and is a predicted model, not a curated record. Lineage: Eukaryota; Metazoa; Chordata; Actinopteri; Kurtiformes; Apogonidae. The transcript is spliced from 3 exons.